RNAcentral lists this ribosomal RNA (721 nucleotides) under uncultured bacterium. RNAcentral's name for it is "bacterial SSU rRNA". It matches the Rfam family "Bacterial small subunit ribosomal RNA", at positions 408 to 1117 of the family's 1533-position model. The record is from RNAcentral.
AUGAAGGCUUUCGGGUCGUAAAGUUCUGUUGUCAGGGAAGAACAAGUACCGGAGUAACUGCCGGUACCUUGACGGUACCUGACCAGAAAGCCACGGCUAACUACGUGCCAGCAGCCGCGGUAAUACGUAGGUGGCAAGCGUUGUCCGGAAUUAUUGGGCGUAAAGCGCGCGCAGGCGGUUCCUUAAGUCUGAUGUGAAAGCCCCCGGCUCAACCGGGGAGGGUCAUUGGAAACUGGGGAACUUGAGUGCAGAAGAGGAGAGCGGAAUUCCACGUGUAGCGGUGAAAUGCGUAGAGAUGUGGAGGAACACCAGUGGCGAAGGCGGCUCUCUGGUCUGUAACUGACGCUGAGGCGCGAAAGCGUGGGGAGCGAACAGGAUUAGAUACCCUGGUAGUCCACGCCGUAAACGAUGAGUGCUAAGUGUUAGAGGGUUUCCGCCCUUUAGUGCUGCAGCAAACGCAUUAAGCACUCCGCCUGGGGAGUACGGCCGCAAGGCUGAAACUCAAAGGAAUUGACGGGGGCCCGCACAAGCGGUGGAGCAUGGGGUUUAAUUCGAAGCAACGCGAAGAACCUUACCAGGUCUUGACAUCCUCUGACAACCCUAGAAGAUAGGGCGUUCCCCUUCGGGGGACAGAGUGACAGGUGGUGCAUGGUUGUCGUCAACUCGUGUCGUGAGAUGUUGGGUUAAGUCCCGCAACGAGCGCAACCCUUGAUCUUAGUUG